Mugil cephalus (flathead mullet) is the source of this 845-nucleotide long non-coding RNA. RefSeq lists it as uncharacterized. NCBI's taxonomy places the organism in Eukaryota, Metazoa, Chordata, Actinopteri, Mugiliformes, Mugilidae. The record is from RefSeq and is a predicted model, not a curated record. The transcript has 3 exons.
AGAGAUGCAAAUGCAGGCUAUGGCUUCUAGACAAGAAAGAGCGGAAAUGGUGAACUCUUACGCAGAACCUUAUAAAAGCCUACAUGCUAAUUCUCCCAGUAAUCGGAAGUCUCCAGAAAUACUUCAUCAGAUCCAUCAGUAGCAGGAGACUGAGACUAAAUACUUUCCAAUCUUCUUCAAUGUGACAUUUGGAUGAACAUUUUUGAAUAAGGAGUGUUUCCUCAGAGUGAACUGGAAGAAAUGACACUAAUACAGAAGUUUGAAGAAUCUGGAAGUUUAAUCAAGAUGUUACAACCAAACUGUUAAAUAUGUUAAAUGUUUAUUUCUGAUUCGACUAAAGCUCAGGGUGCAGAAACAUUGAGUUAUCAGGAACAGUAUGUAGAUGUAGGGCAACAACAAACCAUUAUUUGUUUUUAUUACUUUUUUAAUGAAUGCAUGAACUACUGUGGUUUAGUGGUUAGCUACUAAAACACAACAGAACUUAUUAUAAUAAAUGUGAGUCAAGAAUAAUGAUGAGACACAGAUGAUCCCAGUAAAUAUCAAAGAAAAACCGUUAGUGAGAUACAAGUCAGCUAAAGUUCAGAUUUAUUGAGUUUAAUGAGGAAACAGUGUUGUUAUGUCGUGGGUUUGUUCCUUUAACUACUUCUAUAAUAUCCAGUGAGUCUUUGGGUUAAAGGUCUGUUCAUAGUCCAUCAUUCUUAGGUUACUCUGUAUCUCUAUCAAUUAUAAAACAAUUAGUGGGUAUUUAAUAUGAUCUAAGCAGUUAUUAAAAUGAUCAUUAUAAGAGUCAUGAUUUUACUCAUGAUUUUUAGGUGUUUUAUUUCCAUCCUGGACUUCAUCUGUUU